UGGGGAAUAUUGGACAAUGGGCGCAAGCCUGAUCCAGCAAUGCCGCGUGGGUGAAGACGGCCUGCGGGUUGUAAAGCCCUUUAGGCGGGGAAGAACGGCCGGGCGCAAAUAGCGCGCGGCUCUGACGUUACCCGCAGAAUAAGCACCGGCUAACUCCGUGCCAGCAGCCGCGGUAAUACGGAGGGUGCGAGCGUUAAUCGGAAUUACUGGGCGUAAAGCGUGCGUAGGCGGUUCGGUCAGUCAGCCGUGA
Molecule: ribosomal RNA, 250 nt
Filed under: uncultured bacterium
Lineage: Bacteria
Description: partial 16S ribosomal RNA
Rfam family: Bacterial small subunit ribosomal RNA
Source: RNAcentral